UCCUCUGUAGUUCAGUCGGUAGAACGGCGGACUGUUAAUCCGUAUGUCACUGGUUCGAGUCCAGUCAGAGGAC
This 73-nucleotide transfer RNA is filed under the name Klebsiella aerogenes. RNAcentral's name for it is "tRNA-Asn". It matches the Rfam family "tRNA". Rfam says of the family: Transfer RNA (tRNA) molecules are approximately 80 nucleotides in length. The record is from RNAcentral. Lineage: Bacteria; Pseudomonadati; Pseudomonadota; Gammaproteobacteria; Enterobacterales; Enterobacteriaceae. RNAcentral also lists the same sequence under 4 other names.